This 381-nucleotide ribosomal RNA is filed under the name Hyalotheca mucosa. RNAcentral's name for it is "SSU rRNA". It matches the Rfam family "Eukaryotic small subunit ribosomal RNA", at positions 585 to 972 of the family's 1831-position model. The record is from RNAcentral. Lineage: Eukaryota; Viridiplantae; Streptophyta; Zygnematophyceae; Desmidiales; Desmidiaceae. RNAcentral also lists the same sequence under 1 other name.
CCAGCUCCAAUAGCGUAUAUUUAAGUUGUUGCAGUUAAAAAGCUCGUAGUUGGAUUUGGGGUUGGAGGAUUCGGUCUGCCGACAGGUUGAUACUGUUUCCUUCAUCCUUCUUGCUGAGGACGCGCUCUGGCCUUAACUGGCUGGGGCGCGGAGUCAGCGAUGUUACUUUGAAAAAAUUAGAGUGUUCAAAGCAGGCAUUUGCUCUGAAUACAUUAGCAUGGAAUAACACAACAGGACUCUGGUCCUAUUGUGUUGGUCUUCGGGACCGGAGUAAUGAUUAAUAGGGACAGUUGGGGGCAUUCGUAUUUCAUUGUCAGAGGUGAAAUUCUUGGAUUUAUGAAAGACGAACUACUGCGAAAGCAUUUGCCAAGGAUGUUUUCA